CAGGGGUUCCACCUCUUCCCAUUCCGAACAGAGAAGUUAAGCCCUGCCGCGCCGAUGGUACUGCAUAGAAGUGGGAGAGUAGGUCGCCGCCGAUU
This 95-nucleotide ribosomal RNA is filed under the name Breznakibacter xylanolyticus. The record is from RNAcentral. Lineage: Bacteria; Pseudomonadati; Bacteroidota; Bacteroidia; Marinilabiliales; Marinilabiliaceae.